Molecule: ribosomal RNA, 465 nt
Filed under: Vreelandella stevensii
Lineage: Bacteria; Pseudomonadati; Pseudomonadota; Gammaproteobacteria; Oceanospirillales; Halomonadaceae
Description: partial 16S ribosomal RNA
Rfam family: Bacterial small subunit ribosomal RNA
Source: RNAcentral
CCUACGGGUGGCAGCAGUGGGGAAUAUUGGACAAUGGGGGCAACCCUGAUCCAGCCAUGCCGCGUGUGUGAAGAAGGCCCUCGGGUUGUAAAGCACUUUCAGUGAGGAAGAACGCCUGGUGGUUAAUACCCAUCAGGAAAGACAUCACUCACAGAAGAAGCACCGGCUAACUCCGUGCCAGCAGCCGCGGUAAUACGGAGGGUGCGAGCGUUAAUCGGAAUUACUGGGCGUAAAGCGCGCGUAGGUGGCUUGAUAAGCCGGUUGUGAAAGCCCCGGGCUCAACCUGGGAACGGCAUCCGGAACUGUCAAGCUAGAGUGCAGGAGAGGAAGGUAGAAUUCCCGGUGUAGCGGUGACAUGCGUAGAGAUCGGGAGGAAUACCAGUGGCGAAGGCGGCCUUCUGGACUGACACUGACACUGAGGUGCGAAAGCGUGGGUAGCAAACAGGAUUAGAUACCCUAGUAGUC